RNAcentral lists this ribosomal RNA (433 nucleotides) under uncultured bacterium. RNAcentral describes it as "partial 16S ribosomal RNA". It matches the Rfam family "Bacterial small subunit ribosomal RNA", at positions 29 to 507 of the family's 1533-position model. The record is from RNAcentral.
AACGAACGCUGGCGGCAUGCCUAACACAUGCAAGUCGAACGAUGCCUUCGGGCAUAGUGGCGCACGGGUGCGUAACGCGUGGGAAUCGGCCUUUCGGUUCGGAAUAACUCAGGGAAACUUGAGCUAAUACCGGAAAACUUCGCAAGACAAAAGAUUUAUCACGGAAAGAUGAGCCCGCGUAGGAUUAGCUAGUUGGGGAGGUAAAGGCUCACCAAGGCGACGAUCCUUAGCUGGUCUGAGAGGAUGAGCCGCCACACUGGGACUGGGACACGGCCCAGACUCCUACGGGAGGCAGCAGUGGGGAAUAUUGGACAAUGGGCGAAAGCCUGAUCCAGCAAUGCCGCGUGAGUGAUGAAGGCCUUAGGGUUGUAAAGCUCUUUUACCCGGGAAGAUAAUGACGGUACCGGGAGAAUAAGCCCCGGCUAACUCCGUG